This 322-nucleotide unclassified non-coding RNA is filed under the name Hevea brasiliensis (rubber tree). The record is from RNAcentral. Lineage: Eukaryota; Viridiplantae; Streptophyta; Magnoliopsida; Malpighiales; Euphorbiaceae.
GGAUCAUACAAUGCCUCGGGGACAGCAAAGUUUGGUUACUUGGGCGACCCCAAGGUUGAGUGAGGAUAAAGUCAAACAGUGUGUCGAUCCGAGAUUGAAAGGUGAAUAUCCUCCAAAAGGAGUUGCUAAGCUUGCAGCUGUGGCGGCAUUAUGCGUCCAAUAUGAAUCCGAGUUCCGACCCAAUAUGAGCAUUGUGGUCAAGGCUUUAUCACCACUACUAUCGAGUAAGCAGGCUCCUCCACCGCCACCGCCUGCUGCUGAUGCUCCUGCCUCUAAUGAUGUCCCUUUAAUUUGAAGAGAAGCAGUUCUACAUGGGUGGCUG